Molecule: long non-coding RNA, 1945 nt
Organism: Zea mays
Lineage: Eukaryota; Viridiplantae; Streptophyta; Magnoliopsida; Poales; Poaceae
Exons: 4
Source: RefSeq, a predicted model, not a curated record
UCCACGACAGGCGACAGCGUCUGAAAGACUUGGCAGCUGGCGGGCAUGGGGAGUUCCGCCCCGGUUUCUGGACGUUUUCCAUGGGGGGAGCAGGAUGUCGCUGUCUGCAGCGCCAGUCGCUCUCACCCCGCGCAACCAGCUGCUGAGCGGAGCAGUGUGACGCUGCCGCUGAGCACCACCUCUGUCAAUCUGACACAGAGACAGGAGGCCCGAGGCCAGCCAGCCAGCCAGCCAAGUUGGACUACGGGAGGACGGGACGAGUGGAGAGGCCUGUGGGCGGCGCUGCUGCCUGCAUUAUUGCUGUUAAUUAAUUAUUGUUUUUUUUUUACAUGGUGUGCGUUGUGGCGAGGAAUCCAAUCAUAUUCAAGGACAAGGGUGUGGUGUGGAGUGGAGACUGGAGAGCAUCGUGCGUGCCUGGCUCUGGCUCCGUCAUGGAUCUCCGCCUCCGUCUUUGACCCGCUGUGCUUGUCAGCUUUGGAGGGGAGUCGGGGAGACAAUUAAUAUCACUACAUCAGUGAGGAGGAUCAGAGGAUGGAUCGAUCUUCUUUCUUCUUUUGACGGGGAUGGAUGGAUUCAGAUUUGGCGAAAGCGACGGCGACGCCCUCCCGGUCCCGGAUCUAGGCCAGCGAGCGAGGGCUGGCCGGCCGGCUGCCUGGCUGGUGGCUGCUGCUACUCGAGAUGUUGAGGCCCGGCUGCCGUGGGCCGUCCCGUAUGCUGAAUCAGAUGCCAGCGUAUAGCCUAGCCUAGCCUAGGUAGCCCCGAGUGCGAAUGUGCGAUACUGCUACUAUCAUAUCAUGCUGCUGGUAUCUCGUCUUCGAAGCUCAACCUAAACUUCAUUUCUCUUGCCUGUGCUACAGAGAUAUCUUGUUGUUCCCAAAGACAGAAAAAAAAAGAGGGAACUCAUAUGUAGCAACGGUGUUUCAGUCACCCCAAGGAUCCUCUCCAGAAUAAAGUGAUUUUUUUUUUUGCAUUUUUUUUCUAGUCGAAAUCCUUCUUCCUCAUAUAUAUAGAUACAUAGGUUUGGCUUUAAGGAGAUCUGUCCAAACAGGUGACACAUCAUGCUUCUUUGUAAUAAUUAAUCUUAUGGAUUGGCCUCUAGUUCAUUUGGCUUUUAUGAUACUUGGAGGAGAUGUGUUCUUGGUUAUAUGCCAGACAGUUGGCACACUAGUAUGAGCAUGUGGCUGAACUCUUGUGAUACUCGAUCACGCGUAUAUCUGAUUCACAGUAAGCGCUGACAGUAGCAUAUGAAAUAUCUUUAGAUAUUCGAUCAAGCGCUGAAGCAUUGAACAUCAGAGGGUCCUUUGGAGUUACAUACAAAGGACGAUUGUUUUUUGUUCACCCAUUCUCGAUUUAUCAGGGACGCACAUACAUACAUUCUAUACAUAUAGAUGGAUGGAAGCCGUAGUAGCGGCUUUAGUGGCUUAACUGAUGGCUUGUAAUGUGGAAUACAUAUGCGUGAGGUGAGCUCAUGUGUUCAUGUUGAACCCAGGAAAGUGUCGAUUCGUCUUGCACGGUGGAGCACACAUGCCGAGGAAGGUGUCGGUGCACUGGAGCUGCUUGACGGGGAUGGAGGCUUGGAGAAUAUGUAGCUCAUGAAUUCCGGUUAUUCGCAUCACGUGACCUAAAACACAAGAUCGUUCUCCACUGCCUGACUCCUAUAUACCUCUUGAAGGCUUGGUCGCAUUUGCUGAGGAUGUCGUCGCAGGUGUAGAGGCCGGAGAAGAAUUUGCACUUUCCGUGUGAUUGGAUGCAUGGGCGUAUGUAGCCAAGCUCGCAUGAGCCUGUUUUGUACGGCCAAUUUCUAUGUAUCUGUGGAUGCAGACAAAUAAAUCUAGAUUGUAUCGGUACGUGCGUGCUAGAUACAGCGAACCAAAUAUAGGUCGAAAAGUCUGACUCUUCAUAUAUCGGCAACCAAACACAUGUAUGUAUCACUCGAGCUUGCCAC